GGAAGUAUGUUGAUCAAAUGUAAGCUGCUAACUUAUCAUUUUAGUGGUUAAAUUCCAUUUAUAUUUCUA
RNAcentral lists this transfer RNA (69 nucleotides) under Gromphadorhina portentosa (giant Madagascar hissing cockroach). RNAcentral's name for it is "tRNA-Ser". The record is from RNAcentral. Lineage: Eukaryota; Metazoa; Arthropoda; Insecta; Blattodea; Blaberidae.